CUAACACAUGAUGGUGCUGUUAUAAAAACAGAGACACAGUUCCAGCUGCAGAUGGAGGAAGAUGAAAUCAGUGGUUGUUUGCACUUGUUUAUCUAACUGAAGAGCUGCUUUUCCCGCUGAAAAGGACUGCUGUGUCCCCAGUGCAUCAGAAUGACCAUCACUUCAUGUGCUGCUGUUACUGCUGUGGAAAGCCUCCUAAGAGUGGCGUAAUGGAUGAGUGUAACCCCUGAGUGACCCUGUCCAAUUGGGCGCUAGCAUCUGAACUCUCACUCCAGC
RNAcentral lists this long non-coding RNA (276 nucleotides) under Astyanax mexicanus (Mexican tetra). RNAcentral describes it as "lncRNA (ENSAMXG00005019502.1)". Lineage: Eukaryota; Metazoa; Chordata; Actinopteri; Characiformes; Acestrorhamphidae. The record is from RNAcentral.